Molecule: long non-coding RNA, 2597 nt
Organism: Pongo pygmaeus (Bornean orangutan)
Lineage: Eukaryota; Metazoa; Chordata; Mammalia; Primates; Hominidae
Exons: 3
Source: RefSeq, a predicted model, not a curated record
GUACUGGGACUCAGAGGGGUUUCUAUGACUACGGGACCCCUCCGACUAGUACCCUGCAAAUGCUUGUCUGACAUUGGCUUGGAGGCCGGGCGAGGUGGCUCAUGCCUGUAAUCCCAGCACUUUGGGAGGCCGAGGCGGGCGGAUCACGAGGUCAGGAGACCGAGACCAUCCUGGCUAACACGGUGAAACCCCGUCUCUACUAAAAAUACAAAAAAAAAUUAGCCGGGCAUGGUGGCGGGCACCUGUAGUCCCAGCUACUCGGUAGGCUGAGCCAGGAGAAUGGCGCGAACCCGGGAGGCGGAGCUUGCAGUGAGCCGCACCACUGCACUCCAGCCUGGGCGACAGAGUGAUACUCCGUCUCAAAAAAAAAAAAAAAAAAAGAAAGAAAUUGGCUUGGAGAUUUUUCGCCGGCCACUCCUUCUUGAGCCCUGACUGAAAAGGAAGAGUGGAGAAGAAGAGACUCACAUUUACCACGUGCCAUCGGGAAUCCCUUGCAGUCAGCCCAUGCAGUGAGCCUUACUAGGCCCACUUUACAGGUGUGGCAGUUGGGGCUCACAGAGGUGACUUGCUAGCCAGUGAAUACAGAAGUGAGAUUCAACUGAGAUUUGCCUGGCCGUUCAGUCUGAGCACCUUCUGCUGUCCCACAUGGUGAAGCUCAUCCUGACAUAAAUGCAUAUCUCCAAAUUUCAAGGAGUCAUUUUGGAUCUGAUUGGAGGCUCCCAAAUUCCCAGAACAUCAAGCUCUUUGAGGACCAAUGAAGUAGGUUCAAAGAGUUGACUAAGAUCACACAGGCUUCUAGGAAAACAUACGCAGAACUCUGGAUGAAUAUGUACUGUACUUUGAUUGGCUACUCAGCUAUUAGCAGGAAUUUCUUUACCUGAUUAUGUCUCUGGGUCUUUCUGGGACUUUUCUCAUCUGUAAAAAGGGGCCCCUGGAUUCAGCAGGGGUAAUGAAUUUUAUUCUCCAUUGUCAACUUCAGUCAAUAGAGGUGGCUCUGUGAUGCUGUGUUGAGAAGGGUCAGACACCUUGUCCAGGUUCAAAGAGAAAGAGUGCUAGGACUGGUUAGCAGUAUCUGAGGGGUGUAAGAAGGGGACCUGGUGGGAUAUCUUCAAUGUAGUUGUAGAUCUCAGAGAAAAUCAGUACCAUCCCCCCAUGCUUCCCGUAGCUUUUGUUGAUUUGUGGUGAGCAGGCUGAACAUCCCGCUUCCCCACUUACAGCAGUUUGACUUAUUAAGUCAAUAAUAUAUACUUAUUAAGUAUAUGUUGAUUUCUUACUAUGUAAACAGAGGAAAUUAUUCAGCAAAUACAAAGAUGUAAGACAAACAAGCUUAGAGUCUAACAAUAUGGAUAAGACAUACUCAAAGUACUAAAAACAAAGCAAUAUGUAACAAGUGUCCUAAGAGAGGUAUAUCUGAAGAGUUAAAGAGUCUCAGCUGGGCAUGGUUGCUAAUGCUUGUAAUCCCAGCACUUUGGGAGACUGAAGUGGGAGGAUCGCUUGAGCACAGAAGUUUGAGACCAGCCUGGGUGACAGUGAGACCCAAUCUCUACAGUUUUUUUUUUAAAUUAGCUGGGCUUAGUGUCAUAUGCCUGUGGUCCCAGCUACUUGGGGAACUGAGAUAGGAGGAUCACUUGAGCCCAGGAGACUGAGGCUGCAGUAAGCCAUGAUCAUGCCACCGCACUCUGGUCUGGGCAACAAAGCAAGAUCCUGCCAAAAAAAAAAAAAAAAAAAAAGGUUCAGAGAAUAUGACAUUACGUCCAAUUAGAUUAAUCAGAAAAGGUGAGUUUUGAAGUGUAGGAAUCUUUUUAAGGCAGAACUGAGGGGCAUGGGUGGAGUGUUGUGAGAAGGAAAAAGAAUUACUAGCAACAGUUCACAAGGGGAAAUGCAACAGGGCUGGGAUUAGUUAGGGUGAGGCAAGUGAAGUGCCUUGCACAAUGCUGGUGGUGAGCACCCAUUUAAUGUUUGCAACCUGGUUACCUCAUCCACUUCACUCCUCACCCUGAAACACAAGGAACACAAGAGGAGUGGCAAAUGGAAGGCUGGGAAAAAUAAACAGGGCUACCUUCUGCCUGGACUCACCCAAAAGCUGCAACGGUCUCACUGCAGCCUGAAGCUCUUGUACCUCUAGGCUGAAGAUGAUGAGGAUCACAAGGAGGAGGAAGGCUGCCAACUUCAUGUUGCUGUUGGAAGGCUUUGGAAAAACACAGCACGGCUGAGAGCAGCUGAAAUUUAUACCUGCCACCCACUGAGCUGGAAUGCAAGGCCAGGGGUGGGACUAGGGACAGCAGACACCUAAGCCCUGCCCAGAAACUGACGUUUCUGGAGAACAGCCACCCACCCUGUGUACCCUGGGUCCUUCCACAUUACCUAAGCAAGGCUCUGAGCCAAGGGAACACCCUCCUCUGACACACAAGUAAGACUCCUACAUCUGGCUGAGUGCAGUGGCUCACAUCUGUAAUCCCAGCACUUUGGGAGGCCGAGGCAGGAGGAUCACUUGAGCCCAGGAGUUCAAGACCAGCCUGGGUAACAAGAGCAAGACCCUGUCUAUACAAAAUUAAAGAAAAAAAUUAAAUAAUGGAAAAGACUCCUAAAUCAAAAAA